This 497-nucleotide ribosomal RNA is filed under the name uncultured bacterium. Its description in RNAcentral is "partial 16S ribosomal RNA". It matches the Rfam family "Bacterial small subunit ribosomal RNA", at positions 28 to 507 of the family's 1533-position model. The record is from RNAcentral.
GAUGAACGCUGGCGGCGUGCCUAAUACAUGCAAGUCGAGCGAACAGACGAGGAGCUUGCUCCUUUGACGUUAGCGGCGGACGGGUGAGUAACACGUGGAUAACCUACCUAUAAGACUGGGAUAACUUCGGGAAACCGGAGCUAAUACCGGAUAACAUGUUGAACCGCAUGGUUCAACAGUGAAAGACGGUCUUGCUGUCACUUAUAGAUGGAUCCGCGCCGCAUUAGCUAGUUGGUAAGGUAACGGCUUACCAAGGCAACGAUGCGUAGCCGACCUGAGAGGGUGAUCGGCCACACUGGAACUGAGACACGGUCCAGACUCCUACGGGAGGCAGCAGUAGGGAAUCUUCCGCAAAGGGGGAAAGCCUGACGGAGCAACGCCGCGUGAGUGAAGAAGGUCUUCGGAUCGUAAAACUCUGUUAUUAGGGAAGAACAAAUGUGUAAGUAACUAUGCACGUCUUGACGGUACCUAAUCAGAAAGCCACGGCUAACUACGUG